RNAcentral lists this ribosomal RNA (497 nucleotides) under uncultured bacterium. RNAcentral describes it as "partial 16S ribosomal RNA". It matches the Rfam family "Bacterial small subunit ribosomal RNA", at positions 28 to 507 of the family's 1533-position model. The record is from RNAcentral.
GAUGAACGCUGGCGUCGUGCCUAAUCCCUGCAAGUCGAGCGAACAGACGCGGUGGUUGCUCCUCUGACGUUAGCGGCUGAGGGGUGAGUAACAUGUGGAUAACCUACCUAUAAUACUUGGAUAACUUCGGUAAACCGGAGCUUAUACCGGCUCAUCUCUUGAACCGCAUGGUUCAAUAGUGAAAGCCGGUUUUGCUGUCUCUUAUUGAUGGAUCCGAGCUGCAUUAGCUAGGUGGUAAGGUAACGGCUUACCAAGGCAACGAUGCGUAGCCGACCUGAGAGGGUGAACGGCCACACUGGAACUGAGACACGGUACAGACUCCUACAGGAGGCAGCAGUAGGGAAUCUUCCGCAAUGGGCGAAAGCCUGACGGAGCAGCGCCGCGUGAGUGAUGAAGGUCUUCGGAUCGUAAAACUCUGUUAUUAGGGAAGAACAAAUGUGUAAGUAACUAUGCACGUCUUGACGGUACCUAAUCAGAAAGCCACGGCUAACUACGUG